Molecule: long non-coding RNA, 1215 nt
Organism: Agrilus planipennis (emerald ash borer)
Lineage: Eukaryota; Metazoa; Arthropoda; Insecta; Coleoptera; Buprestidae
Exons: 7
Source: RefSeq, a predicted model, not a curated record
UCCUUCACUGCCGACAUCACCAAUAAAAUAAAUUUCCAAGCGUCCACACAUGGUCCAACAUUUAAAAAAAAAUUAAAAACGGUCGGUCCAUACAGGAGAUACUCUUUAUGUAAUUAUUUUAUCUAUGGCAUAUACACGUCAAAUGAGAAACCAUUGAGAAGAUCAGAAGUUACUUUCGUUGAGACGUACGUUUAUGGGCACCAGAUGUAAAUAAUCAAUCCUCUGAUUUAAACUUUAAUAAUAAAUUGUGUUUAUAUAAAAUGGUACUUAUAUAAGUCACUGUUGUAUUAGGACCUGAUGUGAACUUUGUAGGUUGGAACAAUUUCAUGGUGUAAAAUAGGGCUGUGACCAGUAUAGACACAAGCAAAUUGGAUCAAAAGGCUUGUUUCGAGAUAACAUCCUUAUCCUUGGAUUUGAUGGGCAGACUAUUUACAGAUGUGAUGUUCCUUGCAGUCAAAUAUACUUUUAUUUCCAAGAAUGCUGGUCGAAAAAUACAUAGAACAGUGGUGGUUUCCAGUAAAACGUAAUAAAUUGACAUUUAGAGGGUAAAUCAGCAAGGGGAAGAAGUAGAAUCCCAUUCGUGCUUCUUUCUAUUGGCUUUGGAUAUGGGCUGUUAGUGUAAAGGGUUAUGACUUUAACACAUGAAAUGAAGAAGGUGAAAAAAUAAGAAGGAUUGGAAACCUGGAGGAGUGGAGCCCCUUGGACCUGAACGAUGCAAUUUUUAGAAAUACGUGCAGUCCAAUUGACACCGAUGCAUAUAAAGUUACACAUGUGAUGUCUUCCACUAUGUGGCUGAUUUCACCAUCAGUGGUAUUAUUUUCCUUUCACAAGCAUCUGUUGUUGAAGGUACUUCUCUGUUAUACGCUUAGGAAUAAAACUCGACCACCAUAGAGUAUACUUGAGAUCGUCCAACAGAUGAGAGAAAAUUGAAGUUCAGGUUGAUCAUAUUGAAGCAACUAAUAACUGGUGUUGUCUUUCUUAGACUGUAUUCUGGAUUUGCUGUUUUCAUCUUCACCUUGCAACAUUAUGCAGUUAAUUUUCAACAGAUAAGUGAGAACAAGAGGAGAUUUACUUGAAUUCCACUAAAAGAGCAAGUUUUCUACUUUGGCAUUUUUACUGGAUUUGGUUUGCUAUUCACACCUGCAAACUUUGGAUUGUUGUAGUCUAUAAUUAAUUAAGGUCGACGUUGGAGAAAACAAAGAUGACCCCGUAGUU